CUCCUCCUUCUCCUCCUUCAGCCUCCCCCCCUCUCUCCUCUCCCCUCCCAACAGUUGGACUACCUGUGGGUUCUCUGGUUCUUCUGGUUCUUCUGGUUCUGGUCCUGGUCUGAGUUCUGUUGCUUCACAGGAAUCAAACAGGUCUGGCUGCAGCAUGAAGUGUCUCAGUAGAGUCAGGCCACCACGAGCAUCCAGUACAGCUUCAAGACUUCAAGUCUGUGGAACUCUGUUGGAUUAUUCCUUCUUAUAUAUACACCACCUUUAUUUGAUAAGUUUGUCUCCCUGAGGUCCAGAGAGAGCUCAGUACAGCAGAUAGAGAGAAACAGAACAAAAGGACAUAGAGCAUAAGAGACGUCACAGACAUCACUACCAAGAUCUGAAGAUGAGAGUUUCUAUCAUCUGCAUCUGAUGUUCCUCCUCUCUUUGAUUCAGCUUCUUCCUUUCAUUUGUUUGUUUUUAAGCUUUGCUAAAUAAAACCAGGUAGAUCAUUUUGAUCUGUUGAAAGGUU
Molecule: long non-coding RNA, 508 nt
Organism: Micropterus dolomieu (smallmouth bass)
Lineage: Eukaryota; Metazoa; Chordata; Actinopteri; Centrarchiformes; Centrarchidae
Exons: 2
Source: RefSeq, a predicted model, not a curated record